This 69-nucleotide transfer RNA is filed under the name Ictidomys tridecemlineatus (thirteen-lined ground squirrel). Its description in RNAcentral is "Spermophilus tridecemlineatus (thirteen-lined ground squirrel) tRNA". It matches the Rfam family "tRNA". Rfam says of the family: Transfer RNA (tRNA) molecules are approximately 80 nucleotides in length. Their secondary structure includes four short double-helical elements and three loops (D, anti-codon, and T loops). The record is from Rfam by way of RNAcentral. Lineage: Eukaryota; Metazoa; Chordata; Mammalia; Rodentia; Sciuridae.
GGGGUUGUGGCUCAGUGGUAGAGCAAUUGCCUUGCAUGCGUGAGGCCCUGCGUUCGAGCCUCAGCACCA